This 200-nucleotide ribosomal RNA is filed under the name uncultured bacterium. Its description in RNAcentral is "partial 16S ribosomal RNA". It matches the Rfam family "Bacterial small subunit ribosomal RNA", at positions 8 to 205 of the family's 1533-position model. The record is from RNAcentral.
AGAGUUUGAUCUGGCUCAGAGUGAACGCUGGCGGCGUGCUUAACACAUGCAAGUCGAGCGAACUUUAGCAGCACACCGCUAGAGUUAGCGGCAGACGGGUGAGUAACACUUGGGCAAUCUGCCCUCGAGAGGGAGACAACCUGCCGAAAGGCGGGCUAAUAUCCCGUAAAACCACAGGGUCGCAUGAUCCAGGGGUCAAA